RNAcentral lists this transfer RNA (76 nucleotides) under Synergistota bacterium. RNAcentral describes it as "Synergistetes bacterium (oil production facility metagenome) tRNA-Thr". It matches the Rfam family "tRNA". From Rfam's summary of the family: Transfer RNA (tRNA) molecules are approximately 80 nucleotides in length. Their secondary structure includes four short double-helical elements and three loops (D, anti-codon, and T loops). Lineage: Bacteria; Thermotogati; Synergistota. The record is from RNAcentral.
GCCCACGUAGCUCAAUCGGCAGAGCGUGUCCAUGGUAAGGACAAGGUUACCGGUUCGAUUCCGGUCGUGGGCUCCA